Molecule: ribosomal RNA, 942 nt
Filed under: Triticum aestivum (bread wheat)
Lineage: Eukaryota; Viridiplantae; Streptophyta; Magnoliopsida; Poales; Poaceae
Description: partial small subunit ribosomal RNA
Source: RNAcentral
AUGUCCGAGGAUGGUCUAGGCCUUGGUCCUACGCCUCAAGAGCAAGAAACCGUACUUCUUAGUUCGAGUGAGGAUGAAGCAAGAAAAGCGCAACGAAAGAGUGCCAAGAAGCGAAGAGGUCAAGCUCCUUCGAGGUUGAGGUCGGCUGUUUGGACCUUCUUUCAUAAGGUAGAGGUGCCAUCGAAAGAAGGUUUGAUGGAGUUGAAGGCACAAUGUAAUUAUUGUGACAAUCAAUAUGCAUAUGUCCAAGGUGGAAGCACCUCAUCCAUGGGAAGACAUAUGGACACAUGUAAGAAUUAUAAGGACAAGGUUAAUAGGGAUCUCAUCCAAGCUACUCUGUUUUUUAGAAAAACCAAUGCAACAACAAGUGGUCCAGCUAUCCAAUGCAUUGAGUAUGAUAAGGACCUCAUCAAGGAGGUCAUGGCAAAGAUGAUUUGCGUCCAUGAGUACUCAUUUAGAAUGGUUGAACAUAAAUGGUUCAACAUUCUCAUGAAGUGCUUGAAUCCAAACUAUCAACCUAUUGGAAGGAAGGCAAUAAGAGCUGAAUGCAUGAGGGUUUUCAAGAAAGAAAGGGAGUUGCUUCAAGUUGCCCUAAAGGAUGUGGACUUCAUUAGUCUGACAACCGACUUGUGGACUAGCAACCAGACCAUAUCAUAUAUGUGUGUGGUUGCACACUUUAUAGAUAAGGAUUGGAAGAUGCAAACACGUGUUCUUUCUUUCAUAGAUUUGGAUCCUCCUCACUCCGGGCAUGUGAUUUCAGAUGCUAUCUAUGAGUGUGUGACUGAAUGGAAGAUAGAGAAGAAAAUUAUAUCCAUCACACUAGACAAUGCUUCAAACAAUGAUGUUGCGGUCAGAGGUUUGAAGGCAAAGUUUGCUGUUCGGAGAGGUAUAUACUUGCUGUUUUUGUUGUACAUAUGUUCAUAUACUUGCUGUUUUGGUUGA